UACGGGGGGGGCAAGCGUUGUUCGGAAUUACUGGGCGUAAAGGGCUCGUAGGCGGCCAACUAAGUCAGACGUGAAAUCCCUCGGCUUAACCGGGGAACUGCGUCUGAUACUGGAUGGCUUGAAUUCGGGAGAGGGAUGCAGAAUUCCAGGUGUAGCGGUGAAAUGCGUAGAUAUCUGGAGGAAUACCGGUGGCGAAGGCGGCAUCCUGGACCGACAUUGACGCUGAUGAGCGAAAGCUAGGGGAGCAAACGGG
RNAcentral lists this ribosomal RNA (253 nucleotides) under uncultured bacterium. RNAcentral's name for it is "partial 16S ribosomal RNA". It matches the Rfam family "Bacterial small subunit ribosomal RNA", at positions 524 to 776 of the family's 1533-position model. The record is from RNAcentral.